UCAAAAUCGACCCCGAAGUCCAUCCAGCAGUGACCUCUCUGUGCCUGAGCAGCAGCAGCCUCCAGCACCAAGGAAUGAACUAGGCUUACCAGCAAGGUCAUCCUGGGUACAACAUGAUAGGCAGUGCUCUUCACCAAGAGGAAGUGUGGCCAUCCCUUUAGUGACCUCACCUACCCGAACAUUUCCCCGGUGGCUGGAUGAAGAGUACAAGCCCUCUGCUCCCAGUGUCUCCUGUCUGCAUGCGUCAGCAGCUCUCCCCAACUCUCUAGCCAGCAUGACCAGCAGAGUGAGCCGUCUGGAGGUCUUGAAGUCUACAGCCACAUCCCUCUCCAACCGAAU
This is a long non-coding RNA of Clupea harengus (Atlantic herring), 339 nucleotides long. Lineage: Eukaryota; Metazoa; Chordata; Actinopteri; Clupeiformes; Clupeidae. The record is from Ensembl.